Molecule: ribosomal RNA, 254 nt
Filed under: uncultured bacterium
Lineage: Bacteria
Description: partial 16S ribosomal RNA
Rfam family: Bacterial small subunit ribosomal RNA
Source: RNAcentral
CACGUAGGGUGCGAGCGUUGUCCGGAAUUAUUGGGCGUAAAGAGCUCGUAGGCGGUGUGUCGCGUCGGCCGUGAAAACCUGCAGCUUAACUGUGGGCUUGCGGUCGAUACGGGCAUCACUGGAGUUCGGCAGGGGAGACUGGAAUUCCUGGUGUAGCGGUGAAAUGCGCAGAUAUCGGGAGGAACACCGGUGGCGAAGGCGGGACUCUGGGCCGAUACUGACGCUGAGGAGCGAAAGCGUGGGGAGCAAACAGG